This 496-nucleotide ribosomal RNA is filed under the name uncultured bacterium. Its description in RNAcentral is "bacterial SSU rRNA". It matches the Rfam family "Bacterial small subunit ribosomal RNA", at positions 19 to 507 of the family's 1533-position model. The record is from RNAcentral.
AUGGCUCAGGAUGAACGCUAGCGGGAGGCUUAACACAUGCAAGUCGAGGGGCAGCAUAGGGUAGCAAUACUCUGAUGGCGACCGGCAAACGGGUGAGUAACGCGUAUGUAACCUACCCUGUACAGGGGGAUAACCCGGAGAAAUUCGGACUAAUAUCCCAUAACAAUAUCCGGGGGCAUCUUUGGAUAUUUAAAGCUCCGGCGGUUAUUGAUGGGCAUGCGUGACAUUAGCUAGUUGGUGAGGUAACGGCUCACCAAGGCAACGAUGUCUAGGGGUCCUGAGAGGGUUAUCCCCCACACUGGUACUGAGACACGGACCAGACUCCUACGGGAGGCAGCAGUAAGGAAUAUUGGGCAAUGGACGCAAGUCUGACCCAGCCAUGCCGCGUGAAGGAUGGAUGUCCUAUGGAUUGUAAACUUCUUUUAUGCAGGAAAAAUAUCCCGGUCGUGAACCGGGACUGAUGGUACUGUAUGAAUAAGCAUCGGCUAACUCCGUG